Molecule: small RNA, 501 nt
Filed under: Pan troglodytes (chimpanzee)
Lineage: Eukaryota; Metazoa; Chordata; Mammalia; Primates; Hominidae
Description: processed transcript
Source: RNAcentral
AUUCUGUGCGAGGCCCAGGGGAAGCCACAUUGUAAAUCACCUUGUGAGGGCAAAAUGCAAAGAGGUGACCCUGCACAAGGACGGGCCCCUGGGGGAGACAGUCCUGGAGUGCUACAACUGCGGCUGUCGCAACGUCUUCCUCCUCGGCUUCAUCCCGGCCAAAGCUGACUCAGUGGUGGUGCUGCUGUGUAGGCAGCCCUGUGCCAGCCAGAGCAGCCUCAAGGACAUCAACUGGGACAGCUCGCAGUGGCAGCCGCUGAUCCAGGACCGCUGCUUCCUGUCCUGGCUGGUCAAGAUCCCCUCCGAGCAGGAGCAGCUGCGGGCACGCCAGAUCACGGCACAGCAGAUCAACAAGCUGGAGGAGCUGUGGAAGGCAGCCUUACCUGACCGAGAAGAUCCUGGCCUUGGGGAAAGGAAAGCUCUGGCUGCUGGAAUUUUUCUUGUCUUGCCGGGGAAAACCCUUCUGCCACGCUGGAGGACCUGGAGAAGCCGGGGGUGGAC